CGCAACCUUUCGGGGUUGAGUGGCGGACGGGUGAGUAACGCGUGAGAAUCUGCCUUUUGGUCGGGGACAACCACUGGAGACGGUGGCUAAUACCGGAUGUGCCUUUAGGGGUGAAAGAUUAAUUGCCAGAAGAAGAGCUCGCGUCUGAUUAGCUAGUUGGUGAGGUAAAGGCUCACCAAGGCGGCGAUCAGUAGCUGGUCUGAGAGGAUGACCAGCCACACUGGGACUGAGACACGGCCCAGACUCCUACGGGAGGCAGCAGUGGGGAAUUUUCCGCAAUGGGCGAAAGCCUGACGGAGCAAUACCGCGUGAGGGAGGAAGGCUCUUGGGUUGUAAACCUCUUUUAUCAGGGAAGAACCAAAUGACGGUACCUGAAGAAUCAGCAUCGGCUAACUCCGUGCCAGCAGCCGCGGUAAUACGGAGGAUGCAAGCGUUAUCCGGAAUUAUUGGGCGUAAAGCGUCCGCAGGUGGCUCAUCAAGUCUGCUGUCAAAGGCAGGGGCUUAACCCCUGAAAGGCAGUGGAAACUGGAGAGCUAGAGUGCAGUAGGGGUAGAGGGAAUUCCCGGUGUAGCGGUGAAAUGCGUAGAGAUCGGGAAGAACAUCGGUGGCGAAAGCGCUCUGCUGGACUGCAACUGACACUAAAGGACGAAAGCUAGGGGAGCGAAUGGGAUUAGAUACCCCAGUAGUCCUAGCCGUA
RNAcentral lists this ribosomal RNA (697 nucleotides) under uncultured cyanobacterium. Its description in RNAcentral is "bacterial SSU rRNA". It matches the Rfam family "Bacterial small subunit ribosomal RNA", at positions 67 to 804 of the family's 1533-position model. The record is from RNAcentral. Lineage: Bacteria; Bacillati; Cyanobacteriota.